GAUGAACGCUGGCGGCGUGCCUAAUACAUGCAAGUCGAGCGAACGGACGAGAUGCUUGCUUCUCUGAUGUUAGCGGCGGACGGGUGAGUAACACGUGGAUAACCUACCUAUAAGACUGGGAUAACUUCGGGAAACCGUAGCUAAUACCGGAUAAUAUCUUGAACCGCAUGGUUCAAAAGUGAAAGAUGGUCUUGCUGUCACUUAUAGAUGGAUCCGCGCUGCAUUAGCUAGUUGGUAAGGUAACGGCUUACCAAGGCAACGAUGCAUAGCCGACCUGAGAGGGUGAUCGGCCACACUGGAACUGAGACACGGUCCAGACUCCUACGGGAGGCAGCAGUAGGGAAUCUUCCGCAAUGGGCGAAAGCCUGACGGAGCACCGCCGCGUGAGUGAUGAAGGUCUUCGGAUCGUAAAACUCUGUUAUUAGGGAAGACCAUAUGUGUAAGUAACUGUGCACAUCUUGACGGUACCUAAUCAGAAAGCCACGGCUAACUACGUG
This 497-nucleotide ribosomal RNA is filed under the name uncultured bacterium. RNAcentral's name for it is "partial 16S ribosomal RNA". It matches the Rfam family "Bacterial small subunit ribosomal RNA", at positions 28 to 507 of the family's 1533-position model. The record is from RNAcentral.